This 1276-nucleotide ribosomal RNA is filed under the name Chelocoris sinicus. Its description in RNAcentral is "SSU rRNA". It matches the Rfam family "Eukaryotic small subunit ribosomal RNA", at positions 91 to 1260 of the family's 1831-position model. Lineage: Eukaryota; Metazoa; Arthropoda; Insecta; Hemiptera; Phymatidae. The record is from RNAcentral.
GCGCUCAGCUAAACCAGUUUCAAUUUACUAGAGCAUUAACGCCUUCACGGGGGUGUGGAUAACUGUGGUAAUUCUAGAGCUAAUACAAGUAUUCUUAUCCAAACCAUUUUUGGUUUGGAUAUUUUUAUUAGAAUUAAAAACUAAUCGUCCAUGCUUGUCUGGGCGUGUUUUUGGUGACUCUAGAUAAUGCCUCAGUUCGCACAGCCUUCGUGCAGGCGACACAUCUUUCAAAUGCCUGACUUAUCAACUGUCGAUGGUAGACUUAUUGUCUACCAUGGUAGUUACGGGUAACGGGGAAUCAGGGUUCGAUUCCGGAGAGGGAGCCUGAGAAACGGCUACCACAUCCAAGGAAGGCAGCAGGCACGCAAAUUACCCAUUUCCAGAACGGAGAGGUAGUGACAAAAAAUAACGAUACGGGACUCUAUUGAGGCCCCGUAAUCGGAAUGAGUACACUUUAAAUCCUUUAACCAGGAUCGAUUGGAGGGAAAGUCUGGUGCCAGCAGCCGCGGUAAUUCCAGCUCCAAUAGCGUAUAUUAAAGUUGUUGCAGUUAAAAAGCUCGUAGUUGGUUUUGCGUGCCACGCUGUCGGUUCGCCGCCUGUCGGUGAAACUGGCAUGCCGUGGUACGUCCUGCCGGUGGUAAACGGUUACCUGGCGUGUGGCUUAGAACUUUUGUUUUUUGUCGCUGCCUUUGUGUAAUCGUUUGCCGAUUUUAUCCUACCCGGUGCUCUUAAACGAGUGUCGAGGUAGGCCGGCAAAUUUACUUUGAACAAAUUAGAGUGCUUCAUGCAGGCUUGAAAUAUAGCCUGAAUAGUGGUGCAUGGAAUAAUAAAAUAGGACCUCGGUUCUAUUUUGUUGGUUUUCGGAACUCAAGGUAAUGAUCAAUGUGGACAAGCGGGGGCAUUCGUAUUGCGGCGUUAGAGGUGAAAUUCUUGGAUCGUCGCAAGACGCACAAGAGCGAAAGCAAUUGCCAAGUAUGUCUUAAUUGAUCAAGAACGAAAGUUAGAGGUUCGAAGGCGAUCAGAUACCGCCCUAGUUCUAACCAUAAACGAUGCCAGCCAGCGAUCCGACGUGUUCAUAUUAUGACACGUGCGGGCAGCUUCUUCCCGGGAAACCAAAGCUCUUGGGUUCCGGGGGAAGUAUGGUUGCAAAGCUGAAACUUAAAGGAAUUGACGGAAGGGCACCACCAGGAGUGGAGCCUGCGGCUUAAUUUGACUCAACACCGGGAAACCUCACCAGGUCAGGACAUUGUAAGGAUUGACAGAUUGAUAGCUCUUU